GAUGAACGCUGGCGGCGUGCCUAAUACAUGCAAGUCGAGCGAACAGAUGAGGAUCUUGCUCCUCUGACGUUAGCGGCGGACGGGUGAGUAACACGUGGAUAACCUACCUAUAAGACUGGGAUAACUUCGGGAAACCGGAGCUAAUACCGGAUAAUAUAUUGAACCGCAUGGUUCAAUAGUGAAAGACGGUUUUGCUGUCACUUAUAGAUGGAUCCGCGCCGCAUUAGCUAGUUGGUAAGGUAACGGCUUACCAAGGCAACGAUGCGUAGCCGACCUGAGAGGGUGGUCGGCCACACUGGAACUGAGACACGGUCCAGACUCCUACGGGAGGCAGCAGUAGGGAAUCUUCCGCAAUGGGCGAAAGCCUGACGGAGCAACGCCGCGUGAGUGAUGAAGGUCUUCGGAUCGUAAAACUCUGUUAUUAGGGAAGAACAAAUGUGUAAGUAACUAUGCACGUCUUGACGGUACCUAAUCAGAAAGCCACGGCUAACUACGUG
This 497-nucleotide ribosomal RNA is filed under the name uncultured bacterium. RNAcentral's name for it is "partial 16S ribosomal RNA". It matches the Rfam family "Bacterial small subunit ribosomal RNA", at positions 28 to 507 of the family's 1533-position model. The record is from RNAcentral.